AGCAGCCGCUUGCGGAGGAGUUCUGCCCACUGCAGCGCUCUGCAGUCUCUGGCCCGCUCCCGUAGGACCCGUCACGGCAGCCAUCGUCGCCCUCUGCAUUCAGCCCAUUUCGCCGCUGUUUCAGUACGGCUUUUAAAGCCUCAGCACUGAUUUUUAUCCGUGUCAGCAGCCUCGAUCUUCGCUCUCUCAGUCCGGCCGCCACUGCUUCUUCCACCUCCGCCUCGGGCACCGCCGCUUCUGAUUUUUCGAUUCUGUGAAGAUAGCAUUCAUCCCCCUAGGACAAGAGGAAACUUCUUGGUCCCUUCCACUCUACAAUGAAGCUGAAAGUAGCUAGGAAAUGUUAACUGUAUUUCAUUAUUACUGCCUAGCCACUCUUCCAGCCCAGGUGAUAGUGAUGUGAUCACAUAGAAUUAUAAACCAAAAGUGGAGCAGAAUCUCUUCUGCUCGUGACUAACUUUUCCACUAUCGAACAUGCCUCUUCCUUCAGAUUUUGGUCCAGAGAGGAACUGCUGUACUGUUUUCCCCUGUGGCUCCACCAUUUUACAUCUCCACUCACAAAUUGCAAAGAUUCUGAUUUCUCCAUAUCCUCACCAAUGCUUAUUUUCUUCUUCUUUUUUUUAAAUGGCCAGUGUAAUGCUUGUGUCUGGCUAAUUCAUAUUUUUAUUUAUGAUUUUUAAAAAAUUUCCCUUAUACUUUGAGAUGUUACACUUGUUUUCAUGUGUUUGU
Molecule: long non-coding RNA, 726 nt
Organism: Carlito syrichta (Philippine tarsier)
Lineage: Eukaryota; Metazoa; Chordata; Mammalia; Primates; Tarsiidae
Exons: 3
Source: RefSeq, a predicted model, not a curated record